UGCAAGUCGAGCGGCAGCACGGGUACUUGUACCUGGUGGCGAGCGGCGGACGGGUGAGUAAUGCCUAGGAAUCUGCCUGGUAGUGGGGGAUAACGCUCGGAAACGGACGCUAAUACCGCAUACGUCCUACGGGAGAAAGCAGGGGACCUUCGGGCCUUGCGCUAUCAGAUGAGCCUAGGUCGGAUUAGCUAGUUGGUGAGGUAAUGGCUCACCAAGGCGACGAUCCGUAACUGGUCUGAGAGGAUGAUCAGUCACACUGGAACUGAGACACGGUCCAGACUCCUACGGGAGGCAGCAGUGGGGAAUAUUGGACAAUGGGCGAAAGCCUGAUCCAGCCAUGCCGCGUGUGUGAAGAAGGUCUUCGGAUUGUAAAGCA
This 376-nucleotide ribosomal RNA is filed under the name Pseudomonas sp. LL20. RNAcentral's name for it is "bacterial SSU rRNA". It matches the Rfam family "Bacterial small subunit ribosomal RNA", at positions 56 to 432 of the family's 1533-position model. Lineage: Bacteria; Pseudomonadati; Pseudomonadota; Gammaproteobacteria; Pseudomonadales; Pseudomonadaceae. The record is from RNAcentral.